UACAGAGGGGGCAAGCGUUGUUCGGAAUUACUGGGCGUAAAGGGCGCGUAGGCGGCCUGUUAAGUCGAACGUGAAAUCCCUGGGCUCAACCCAGGAACUGCGUCCGAUACUGGCUGGCUUGAAUCCGGGAGAGGGAUGCGGAAUUCCAGGUGUAGCGGUGAAAUGCGUAGAUAUCUGGAGGAACACCGGUGGCGAAGGCGGCAUCCUGGACCGGUAUUGACGCUGAGGCGCGAAAGCCAGGGGAGCAAACGG
This 252-nucleotide ribosomal RNA is filed under the name uncultured bacterium. RNAcentral describes it as "partial 16S ribosomal RNA". It matches the Rfam family "Bacterial small subunit ribosomal RNA", at positions 524 to 775 of the family's 1533-position model. The record is from RNAcentral.